UUUUUUCUCUCUCUCCCUCUCCUAUUCCUGAAAGUACUUUCAGCUUUUUCUCUCUCUCUCACCAUCAGACUUUCCCUUUACUCUCUGUUCAUAAACCAUGGUUCGAUCUCUCUGUGUAUUAUUAUCAUCCAUCUCAUCAUCUUCUUCCUUUCAUCAUCUUCACCCAUGUCUCUCUCUCUCUAUUUUUCUCUUCAUCUUCCAUAGUUUCUCUUCCAAAUGUUAACCAUCUUUCUUCGCCUAUCACUUUUUAAAUCCUUGCUCUUGCUCUUGCUCCGAUCGAGAGGGGAGAGAAUGAGAUUGAAAAAAACAGAGAGAGAGAGAGAAAAGGAUGAUGAUUAGAAUGAUGAUGAGAGAUGAUCCAGAAGAAAGAGGAAGCCCUUGCAAACCAAAAUUUACUUAAUUUCAACUGUCCAAUAAACAUCUUAAUCCUGUUCCUCUAAUUUUUUAUUCUCUAUGUCAUUUUCCCCCUUGACUCAUAUUCUCUCUUUGUCUCUUCGACUUUCAGUCUCCACUUGAUUCUCAUCGGUUGUGUUUCCCACCAAUAAACAUCCUAAUCACUAAUCAUUUGGUUAAUUUUAGCUUUUUGUUAAAGUGAAUACACCUUGUAAUCGAUUAUCUUAUCUCCAUGUUUAAUCUACAUGAUGAUCCCACCUAAACAUUUGAAUAGUUCCUAUCGAUUCAUAUCCAUGUCAUUAUCCUUUUUUCAUCAACGAUUAGAAUAAUAAUUCACUUGUUAUUUUUUUCUUCUUCUUCUUUUGGGUUCUUUUCCUGUUCCAACCCGAGGUUUUGUUCACUUCAUUAAUUUCACAUUCUCUUCAUCUCCUAUUCUUGAUUCUAUCUUUUCCAUACUCUCAGUGAUUUAACUUCUCAUCUUCUAAUUUAAGUUAAUCAAAUGUAAUUUCAAUCUUUACACUUAAUUAUUACUAAUUUAAUGUAAACAAUUCUAUAUUUAUCUUUAAUAGUCUUCAUUUUAUAUCUUCUAUCAGAAGUGGAAACUCAACAGUGAAAUGGUGUCUGAUUAUUCUGUCGCAAUUAUGGUUCCACUUUUCGAUUGAUGAUCAUCAUAAAUGUUUAUUAAUUAUCUUUGCUUGUCAAUGGUUUCUCUUAUUUCUCUCAAUACAUAUUCACCAUGAGAAUCAAUCUAACUGUUUUCUCACAACAGUAGUAUCGCAAUUAACUUAAUCAUUCGUUGAUCUUUGGCUUUUUAUUUUUUUCUCUCUCUUUCUCUCAACAUUCGGAUUCAAUUUAUCAUCAACAUCAUCAAGCCUUCCUCACUCAAUCAGGUGGUGGUGUGAGAACAGAUUAUGAAUUGUUGUUAUUGAUUAACUUAAUUUUUUUCUCUGUGUUUCUAAUUUCAUCACAACCUCCUUGAGUGAGUGAGGCUUUCACUCUAAUCAUCAUCUAUUAAAUAGUAACUAUUAACGAUAGUUUAUUAAUAAUAUACUAUCAAAAUCUUACUCUCUAUUUCCAUUAAGUGUUGUUACCAUGCAAAUUAAUUACUUAGGAAAUUUAGUCGAUUUAGAGACAAACAUCAAACGAAUCAUCAAGAAUCUCCGGAUGUAAUUUGAUGAAUUAAACAUUCCAUUGAUUUGCAUGAAUGAAUUAUGAGACCAUUCUAAUAAUUACAUUGGUCUUUUUUCAUCAAUUUAAAUUCAGUUAUUAACAAUGAACAAUAGGUAACUAUAAAUAGUAAU
This is a long non-coding RNA of Panonychus citri (citrus red mite), 1694 nucleotides long. RefSeq lists it as uncharacterized. The transcript has 3 exons. The record is from RefSeq and is a predicted model, not a curated record. NCBI's taxonomy places the organism in Eukaryota, Metazoa, Arthropoda, Arachnida, Trombidiformes, Tetranychidae.